UUUGUUGAUUGUUUAUGUUGUUUAUUUACUUUUUAUAAAGAUUGAAACUUUUAAUAAACUCAGAAUGUCCGAAAUUGAAAUAACCAAAUUCUACAAAGAAUCGUUUAUCCCAUCAUAUGGCGAAGAUGAUACCGAUACGGUCGACAUUUCGACACUAAUAAUAGAAAGCCAAAAGUGGGUACAAGUCUCAAUUACACAGAGAAACAUGAAUCUAAGAAAAAACUAGCGGCAGCGAUAAUUUACAACUUUUGUAAAACUAAUUGGAUGAAAAAAACGUUUCCGAGGAGAGGAAUCAUCGCUCUAACCAAAUUAAUUUUGGGAUCGAUUGAUUCCGAAGACGUCAUCGCGGCCCAAAUAUUUGUGCUUCAUAUUACCAAACAUUCGCUCGAUGAUAAUAUAACAUAUUCACGUAUCUAGUCUACAUGGCCAAUACGUUCGCAAUAAAAAGACUACUGUGGGACGAUGAAAAACGGUGGAUCGAUCUGUCCAGAAAUGUAUGUCGUCAUAGUAAGGUAAUAAAAUCUUUCCACCUUUAUUUGAAAAAUCACUUUAAUGAGAUGAGUUUUUCUUUUUGUAAAGUAAUUUUCAUUAAAAGACUUAAGCAUUCGACAUCCAACGAAUACAUCGUAAGCUGAAUCUACAGUCUACCGAAAUCGUGUUGCUCGAAUGCAGGAGAAAUCAGCUCUUAGGGCCAUUUUUUUUGUAUCGAUGUUGCUUGCGAUGUUUGCGAUUAUUGUUCGAAAUUUGUCUUAUUGCCAACAUUUAAGUCAACCUUAUAAUAGUAUGCCAAAGUGGUUCACCCACUGGGCGAUAUUAUUGCGUAGACAUUAUCACCAUGUAUUAUCACCCAGGGUUACAUUACAACACACAAUUUUCGUUGAGUUGUAGUUUCAAACUGAUUUUAUUCUUAAGAAAAAUUGGCUCCAGAACACUAGAUUCUAUCAAUCGAUUUGAAUCAACGCACUUCAAGCAUGAGUGCUGCUCUAGAGUACCAGUCAGUGUACAAAAAAAAAUUACACUGCAAAAAAGUUGAGAACAAAUUUUCAUACAAAAUAUGGCAGCUGUAAAACGAAGAACUUUUGCUUGAAGUGCGUUGUUUGCAUACAUAAAUUACAGUAAACAUUUGGUGAAUGAUAUUAUCAUCUUCUCGGCGAUAUUUUGAACUUCUGCACCGCAUCUUUUUCAUGUAUACUAUCACGUAGAGUGAUUUUUCAUUUAUUCAGUAAGUGUCCUUCUUGACUUUUAUCAAAGCACUGUCAAUCACCGAAGCUGACUUUGACAUCCCACAAUUAGAAGGUCGCUUGAGAGUGCUAUGCUUAUUUAUACUUCUAUAACAUCACAUUUUCGACCACAAACAACCUUCUGUUAUCAACCACAGCACACACUGCAAUUCAAUGAACUAACAA
Molecule: long non-coding RNA, 1406 nt
Organism: Bradysia coprophila
Lineage: Eukaryota; Metazoa; Arthropoda; Insecta; Diptera; Sciaridae
Source: RefSeq, a predicted model, not a curated record